GUUUUAUACAUUGCAUUGUACCGGAGAGAAGGUAUACAUUUAAAUAGGUUUUGCAGUCAGAAAGAGAAGGUGAAUACUGGGACAUAUCUGUAUAACAUGGAAUCCUAUAUAUCAGAGGAUAAAACAUUUUUGGGUCAUCCAGCACAUCUGUGAGAUUAAGAUAAACAUUUCAGUUUAAAUUAAUAAUAGCACCUUCUUGGGUGGUAGUCAGAAGCAGUUAAACAUUUCAACCAAACUUUUAAUUAGCAGAAAGUGAAGAGUUCUUUACCUUGAAUUUGACCAGAAACAUGAAUGACUGACACAGAACAGCAGAUAAGCUGUUGGAGGGAACCUCUGAACACCAUCUGGUCCAGCCUCCUACUUUAUGUGUGCCAACAACCGAUCAGGUCGGCAGUGGCUUUUCCUGGUCAUGUCAUGACCUCCAACGAUGGAAAUUUCACUGCAUCCAACUAAUAGGUUUCCAUGUUGUACCGAAUUCCUAGUAAAACAUUUUUCCUAAUAUCCAGGGUGAAUCUGCCAGGUCUUCAUUUGCAGCUGUUGCCCUGGGCUAUACUGUUUUACACAGCUGUGCAUCUCUGUUCUUUAUGAGCACCUCCCCAUUAGCACCUGUAGAUGGUAUGAGACUGCCCCUCAGCCCCUUUUUUGCUGGGCUACACCAGCCCAAUGCCCUCCCUCUCCCCAUGUGCUGCUAUCUGUAGCUCUCUGAUGGAUCCAUGCUAGUUUUUCAGCAGCCAUUUUGAAGUGGGAGGCCUCAAAAAUGGACGUAGAAAUCCAUGACAGCCUCACCAGCACCAAGAAGUUUUCAGCUCCUCGUGCUUCUGAGGAAGGUGAAGGACGAGAGGUGCCUCCUGGCGAGAAUCCUGCUGCCUCCUGGGGGACUCAUUUGUGUUGCCUACAUCGCGUGCUGGAUUUAGAAGCCCUCCAGUGUUACCAUGGCAACAGUUUCUGCUUAAGUAUAGAAAAAUUUCACAGCAUACCAGAGAAGAGCAACAGCUUUCAGCCUGUUGGAAAAGGCAGUGAGGGACUGGUGGCUGGAGCCAACCAUACUGAUGAGACCCUGCUGCAUUGGGAAGAGUGGAACUAUCUGCCCUGUUUGGCAGGAUGCUCCUGCUCCUCUCACCUAUCAGCCUGUGAGGAAAUCUAG
RNAcentral lists this long non-coding RNA (1144 nucleotides) under Phasianus colchicus (ring-necked pheasant). RNAcentral's name for it is "lncRNA (ENSPCLG00000004440.1)". The record is from RNAcentral. Lineage: Eukaryota; Metazoa; Chordata; Aves; Galliformes; Phasianidae.